GAUGAACGCUGGCGGCGUGCCUAAUACAUGCAAGUCGAGCGAACAGAUGAGGAGCUUGCUCCUCUGACGUUAGCGGCGGACGGGUGAGUAACACGUGGAUAACCUACCUAUAAGACUGGGAUAACUUCGGGAAACCGGAGCUAAUACCGGAUAAUAUAUUGAACCGCAUGGUUCAAUAGUGAAAGACGGUUUUGCUGUCACUUAUAGAUGGAUCCGCGCCGCAUUAGCUAGUUGGUAAGGUAACGGCUUACCAAGGCAACGAUGCGUAGCCGACCUGAGAGGGUGAUAGGCCACACUGGAACUGGAACACGGUCCAGACUACUACGGGAGGCAGCAGUAGGGAAUCUUCCGCAAUGGGCGAAAGCCUGACGGAGCAACGCCGCGUGAGUGAUGAAGGUCUUCGGAUCGUAAAACUCUGUUAUUAGGGAAGAACAAAUGUGUAAGUAACUAUGCACGUCUUGACGGUACCUAAUCAGAAAGCCACGGCUAACUACGUG
Molecule: ribosomal RNA, 497 nt
Filed under: uncultured bacterium
Lineage: Bacteria
Description: partial 16S ribosomal RNA
Rfam family: Bacterial small subunit ribosomal RNA
Source: RNAcentral